AGAGUUAAACAGUACGUGAAAUUGUUGAAAGGGAAACGAUUGAAGCCAGUCGUACUGGCGGGAAAUCAACUUCUCAAGUGCUUGUCGUGGAUGACGUUGAGCCUCACGGCCUUCGUUGCUUACGUUAUGGUGCUUUUGAGGUGUACUUUUCCGUAUUGUAGGUCAACAUCGAUUUUGAUCGUCAUAAAAUGAUCGGAGGAAUGUGGCUCGGAUCUCGUAUCGGAGUGUUAUAGCCUUUGGUAGAUGUGACGAUUGGGAUCGAGGAUUGCAACGAAUACCCUUUGGGCUAUCCAUCUGACCUCUGAAAGUCGCUAGGGUGUAGAAAGCGUGCUUAUAACAUUUUUAGUUGGCGGUCAAAAGGUUAGAACGCGAUUAUAUUCGUUAAGGAUGUUGACGUAAUGGCUUUAAACGA
RNAcentral lists this unclassified non-coding RNA (412 nucleotides) under uncultured Glomeromycotina. Its description in RNAcentral is "sequence contains 28S rRNA gene". Lineage: Eukaryota; Fungi; Glomeromycota. The record is from RNAcentral.